GACGAACGCUGGCGGCGUGCCUAAUACAUGCAAGUCGAACGAGAGCAACCGGUGCUUGCACUGGUCAAUCUAGUGGCGAACGGGUGAGUAACACGUGGGUAACCUGCCCAUCAGAGGGGGAUAACAUCCGGAAACGGAUGCUAAAACCGCAUAGGUCUUCGAACCGCAUGGUUUGAAGAGGAAAAGGGGCGCAAGCUUCUGCUGAUGGAUGGCCCCGCGGUGCAUUAGCUAGUUGGUGAGGUAACGGCUCACCAAGGCCGUGAUGCAUAGCCGACCUGAGAGGGUGAUCGGCCACAUUGGGACUGAGACACGGCCCAAACUCCUACGGGAGGCAGCAGUAGGGAAUCUUCCGCAAUGGACGCAAGUCUGACGGAGCAACGCCGCGGGAGUGAAGAAGGUUUUCGGAUCGUAAAACUCUGUUGUUAGAGAAGAACAAGUGCUAGAGUAACUGUUAGCGCCUUGACGGUAUCUAACCAGAAAGCCACGGCUAACUACGUG
This 498-nucleotide ribosomal RNA is filed under the name uncultured bacterium. RNAcentral's name for it is "partial 16S ribosomal RNA". It matches the Rfam family "Bacterial small subunit ribosomal RNA", at positions 28 to 507 of the family's 1533-position model. The record is from RNAcentral.